Molecule: ribosomal RNA, 785 nt
Filed under: Lasioglossum sp. SJW-2017
Lineage: Eukaryota; Metazoa; Arthropoda; Insecta; Hymenoptera; Halictidae
Description: partial 12S ribosomal RNA
Source: RNAcentral
AUAUAUAUAUAUAUAUAUAUAUAUAUAUAUAUAUAUAUAUAUAUAUAUAUAUAUAAUGUAAAGAUUAAUUUUAUAAAUAAAUGUGAGUUUGAAUAAGAAAUUUAAAUUAAAUAGUGGUAAAUUUAGUGCCAGCAUCAGCGGUUAAACUAUUAUUAUAAGUUAAUUUUUAAAAUUAAUAGAAAUUUUUUAUUAUAUAUUAUACAUUAUAUGUAUAUAUAUAUAUAUAUAUAUUAAAUAUAUAUUUAUUUUUUUGGUGAAAUAUAAAAUUAUAAUAUAUUUAGUAUUAAAAUUUAAAAUUUUUAGUAAAUUUUUUUUGUAGACUAGGAUUAGAUACCCUAUUAUAAUUUUUAAUAAAUUAUUAAUUAAAUAUUAAAUGUAAAUCAUUAAAAUUAAAUAUUAUGGCGGCUUUAUAUACUUAUUAGAGGAACUUGUUAUUAAAUUGAUGAUCCACGUUAAGAUUUACUUGAAAUUAAAAUUUAUGUAUUGUUGUUUAAAAAUUUUAUAAAAAUUUUAUUAUUAAAAUAUUAUAUAUAUAUAUAUAUAUAUAUAUAUAUAUAUGAUAAUAAUUCAAAUCAAAAUGUAGUUUAUUUAAGAUAUGAUGAGUUAUAUUAAAUUUAUAAUUUUUUAAAUUAAUUUUUAAUAUUUAAUUAAUAUAAGAUUUAAUAGUAAAAAUUAUUAAUUAAUAAUUUUGAAAUUAGUUUUAUUUAGUGUACAAAUUGCCCGUCACUUUCAUUAUAAAUGGAAUAAGUCGUAACAUAGUAAAGGUAUUGGAAAAUGUUUUUAUU